This 504-nucleotide ribosomal RNA is filed under the name uncultured bacterium. RNAcentral describes it as "bacterial SSU rRNA". It matches the Rfam family "Bacterial small subunit ribosomal RNA", at positions 29 to 523 of the family's 1533-position model. The record is from RNAcentral.
AACGAACGCUGGCGGCGUGUCUUAAGCAUGCAAGUCGUGCGGCAAGGGCAGCAAUGCCCCUAGAGCGGCGGACUGGUGAGUAACGCGUGGGUGAUCUGCCCUUGGGAUGGGGAUAGCCACUAGAAAUAGUGGGUAAUACCGAAUACGUUCCCCCGACUGUGGUUGGGGGAGGAAAAGCGCUUCGGCGCUGCCCGAGGAUGAGCCCGCGUCCCAUUAGCUAGUUGGUGAGGUAAAGGCCCACCAAGGCGAUGAUGGGUAGGCGGCCUGAGAGGGCGUACGCCCACACUGGGACUGAGAUACGGCCCAGACUCCUACGGGAGGCAGCAGCUAAGAAUAUUCCGCAAUGGACGAAAGUCUGACGGAGCGACGCCGCGUGGAUGAAGAAGGCCGAAAGGUUGUAAAGUCCUUUUGUUGGGGAAGAAUAAGCGCGGGAGGGAAUGCCCGCGUGAUGACAUGAACCGACGAAUAAGCCCCCGGCUAACUACGUGCCAGCAGCCGCGGUAA